Molecule: ribosomal RNA, 175 nt
Filed under: uncultured bacterium
Lineage: Bacteria
Description: partial 16S ribosomal RNA
Rfam family: Bacterial small subunit ribosomal RNA
Source: RNAcentral
ACUCCUACGGGAGGCAGCAGUAGGGAAUAUUGCGCAAUGGGGGCAACCCUGACGCAGCGACGCCGCGUGAGUGAUGAAGGUCUUCGGAUCGUAAAACUCUGUCCUCAGGGAAGAAAACAAUGACGGUACCUGAGGAGGAAGCCCCGGCUAACUACGUGCCAGCAGCCGCGGUAAU